RNAcentral lists this ribosomal RNA (253 nucleotides) under uncultured bacterium. RNAcentral's name for it is "partial 16S ribosomal RNA". It matches the Rfam family "Bacterial small subunit ribosomal RNA", at positions 524 to 776 of the family's 1533-position model. The record is from RNAcentral.
UACGGAGGAUCCAAGCGUUAUCCGGAUUUAUUGGGUUUAAAGGGUGCGUUGGCGGAUUGAUAAGUUAGAGGUGAAAUGUCCGAGCUCAACUCGGGAACUGCCUCUAAUACUGUUGAUCUAGAGAGUAGAUGCGGUAGGCGGAAUGUAUGGUGUAGCGGUGAAAUGCUUAGAGAUCAUACAGAACACCGAUUGCGAAGGCAGCUUACCAAUCUAUAUCUGACGUUGAGGCACGAAAGCGUGGGGAGCAAACAGG